RNAcentral lists this ribosomal RNA (206 nucleotides) under uncultured bacterium. RNAcentral describes it as "partial 16S ribosomal RNA". It matches the Rfam family "Bacterial small subunit ribosomal RNA", at positions 1286 to 1500 of the family's 1533-position model. The record is from RNAcentral.
ACCCAGUUCGGAUUGUAGGCUGCAACUCGCCUACAUGAAGUCGGAGUUGCUAGUAAUCGCGGAUCAGAAUGCCGCGGUGAAUGCGUUCCCGGGUCUUGUACACACCGCCCGUCACACCAUGGAAGUUGGGGGCGCCCGAAGUUGCCUAAGAAAUAAGGUACCUAAGGCGAAAACCAAUGACUGGGGUGAAGUCGUAACAAGGUAUC